UACGUAGGGUGCAAGCGUUGUCCGGAAUUAUUGGGCGUAAAGAGCUCGUAGGCGGUUUGUCGCGUCGAAUGUGAAAACCCGGGGCUCAACCCCGGGCCUGCAUUCGAUACGGGCAGACUAGAGUUCGGUAGGGGAGUCUGGAAUUCCUGGUGUAGCGGUGAAAUGCGCAGAUAUCAAGGAGGAACACCGGUGGCGAAGGCGGGACUCUGGGCCGAUACUGACGCUGAGGAGCGAAAGCGUGGGGAGCAAACAGG
RNAcentral lists this ribosomal RNA (254 nucleotides) under uncultured bacterium. Its description in RNAcentral is "partial 16S ribosomal RNA". It matches the Rfam family "Bacterial small subunit ribosomal RNA", at positions 524 to 776 of the family's 1533-position model. The record is from RNAcentral.